AGGCUCGUCGUCCAGUGGGUCAGGACACGGCUUUCCAAAAGCCGAGACGCAGGUUCGAGCCCUGCCGAGCCUG
Molecule: transfer RNA, 73 nt
Filed under: Planctomycetota bacterium
Lineage: Bacteria; Pseudomonadati; Planctomycetota
Description: Planctomycetes bacterium (bioreactor metagenome) tRNA-Trp
Rfam family: tRNA
About the family: Transfer RNA (tRNA) molecules are approximately 80 nucleotides in length.
Source: RNAcentral